This 83-nucleotide transfer RNA is filed under the name Candidatus Iainarchaeum sp. RNAcentral's name for it is "tRNA-Ser". It matches the Rfam family "tRNA". Rfam says of the family: Transfer RNA (tRNA) molecules are approximately 80 nucleotides in length. Their secondary structure includes four short double-helical elements and three loops (D, anti-codon, and T loops). The record is from RNAcentral. Lineage: Archaea; Nanobdellati; Candidatus Iainarchaeota; Candidatus Iainarchaeia; Candidatus Iainarchaeales; Candidatus Iainarchaeaceae.
GCGGAGUUGGCAGAGCGGUCAAAUGCACUGGUCUCGAAAACCAGGGCCUCACGGCUACGAGAGUUCGAAUCCCUCACUCCGCG